Long non-coding RNA from Corapipo altera (White-ruffed manakin), 869 nucleotides. RefSeq lists it as uncharacterized. NCBI's taxonomy places the organism in Eukaryota, Metazoa, Chordata, Aves, Passeriformes, Pipridae. The record is from RefSeq and is a predicted model, not a curated record. The transcript has 3 exons.
GUUAAUAGUCUUUUUUUUUUUUUUUCUAUCCCAUAUUCUUUCCAGUUUCUUGAGAAUAUGGAGUUGCAUCUGGUUGAUGCUAGGGGUGGGCUAGAGCUGUGAAUAUGAACUGCUUAGGCAAAACAAGUUACCUUGAAUUCAGAUAAACUUCCAUGUUUGCUCUGUUUCUGACAUUUUUUGUUCCAACUAGUGUUAUAAAACAGUUGUGUAAAAUAAGUACUAGUUCUGGCUUUAGUUACAGCUGUCUUUUCAGGCUGAGAGCUAAGCAGCAUCAUCAGGGUUUAGAGAAGCAAGCUUCAAGAUUGCUUAAAGAUAGAUUGUAGGACCAAGAUACAGGGAAGUUGCUUUGGAAAUGCAAAACUGGUGCAUGCCAUAAGUAGAAGUUUGUCUCAUAUUGUUUCUCAGCUGAGUAAGUGGCUGAUUUUCAUCUUGGAGUUGUGUAACAUUAUUUCUGCAGCAAUACCAUUGGGAUACCAACUGCUGAAUUUUCUUGGGAAAAAAAGAGUGCCAUGGGGCCCUUCCAUCAUGGUAAUGGGACAGAGUUUAUCUCUGGUACCAGAGUGGGGAGCUGUGGUCACCUUGCCUGGAUCAUGCAAAAGGUGAAGAGCAGAGGCCCAUCUUCCAUCACUUGGCUCCCUGCUGUGGGCACCUGCUCCCUGUGUGGCAUAAGGAGGUGAACUGGAUGUUCUUUAAAGAGGACCAGAAAUAACAUCAGCCCUUCUAUUCCAUCAGAGGACUUGCCCACUGGAAACUGGAGCAGCAUUUAUCCUUGAAGAAUUUCCUGCAGUAGUUGUUCUUCCUCUCAACUCAUGUACCCAUCUGCUGGGACAGAGGACCACACAUGAUCUACACUGCUGAAUCAGAGUGUA